Molecule: small RNA, 76 nt
Organism: Flavobacterium succinicans
Lineage: Bacteria; Pseudomonadati; Bacteroidota; Flavobacteriia; Flavobacteriales; Flavobacteriaceae
Rfam family: Flavo-1 RNA
Source: Rfam
GCCUAGCCCUGAUGGAAGCGGCAUCCUGUGGCUCCGGGGUUCGGAGCCACAGAUAUAGCGUACAGCAGGAAAUAGC